RNAcentral lists this ribosomal RNA (257 nucleotides) under uncultured bacterium. RNAcentral describes it as "partial 16S ribosomal RNA". It matches the Rfam family "Bacterial small subunit ribosomal RNA", at positions 15 to 263 of the family's 1533-position model. The record is from RNAcentral.
GAUCCUGGCUCAGGAUGAACGCUAGCUACAGGCUUAACACAUGCAAGUCGAGGGGCAUCAGGAAGAAAGCUUGCUUUCUUUGCUGGCGACCGGCGCACGGGUGAGUAACACGUAUCCAACCUGCCCUUUACUCGGGGAUAGCCUUUCGAAAGAAAGAUUAAUACCCGAUAGCAUAAUGAUUCCGCAUGGUUUCAUUAUUAAAGGAUUCCGGUAAAGGAUGGGGAUGCGUUCCAUUAGGUUGUUGGUGAGGUAACCGG